Apis dorsata (giant honeybee) is the source of this 358-nucleotide long non-coding RNA. RefSeq lists it as uncharacterized. The transcript has 2 exons. NCBI's taxonomy places the organism in Eukaryota, Metazoa, Arthropoda, Insecta, Hymenoptera, Apidae. The record is from RefSeq and is a predicted model, not a curated record.
AAUAAGCAUCAUGAAUCAACCAAUCAGAAUGUCGCUUAAUUCGAGACGCGGGACGAAUCAAUGCGCAUCGCAGUGCGCAACGUAGUGCGCAACGCAAUGCGCAUGUCGUCAGUCUACAGUUAAAAAUUGUGUGGAGUGGACGUAUCGUCGCGAAUUCGGAUUACGCAGUUUAAUUGGUAGCGUUAUGGUAAUACUCACGAAGGCGGGAAAAUUUCCAAUAUGGACGCCAUGUCUUUCUUGGCAGUAAAAUUUCUUUCGUGGUAAAAUUUUAUAUUUCGUAUGUAUAAAUUUUUAUUUUGUUUUAUUGGAUUAUUAGUGAUUAUUGUUAAGCAAUUUGUAAUAAAAUUACGUUUUAGUU